UACAGAGGGUGCAAGCGUUAAUCGGAAUUGCUGGGCGUAAAGCGUGCGUAGUCGGUUAUUUAAGUCGGAUGUGAAAUCCCCGGGCUCAACCUGGGAAUUGCAUUCGAUACUGGAUAGCUAGAGUUCGGCAGAGGGAAGCGGAAUUUCGGGUGUAGCGGUGAAAUGCGUAGAUAUCCGAAGGAACAUCAGUGGCGAAAGCGGCUUCCUGGACCAGAACUGACGAUCAGGCACGAAAGCGUGGGGAGCAAACAGG
RNAcentral lists this ribosomal RNA (253 nucleotides) under uncultured bacterium. Its description in RNAcentral is "partial 16S ribosomal RNA". It matches the Rfam family "Bacterial small subunit ribosomal RNA", at positions 524 to 776 of the family's 1533-position model. The record is from RNAcentral.